Molecule: long non-coding RNA, 795 nt
Organism: Amphiprion ocellaris (clown anemonefish)
Lineage: Eukaryota; Metazoa; Chordata; Actinopteri; Pomacentridae
Exons: 3
Source: RefSeq, a predicted model, not a curated record
AUGGAGGAGGCAGCAGAGACUCUGCUCUCCUUGUUUGGAUUAAUUCUGAUAUAAUAACUGUUGGUUUAUUUAUCGGUGGAGCAGCAGAACAUUUUCCACAGACAGUUUUCCUGCCCGUUGGCUUGUUUUAACCAGUUUUCUACCGUCGGCUGAUUCUACCAGCAGACACUGAAAGGACUCUGAUAGUUCGAGUGAAAGUAGCAGUUCCUCCUGAAGGUCAGAGAUUGCAGCAUCUGAGGGCCUCUUCAAAAGAAGACGUAGUUGAUGAAGGCGUUCUGGAGCAGGACCAGAAAGACCACGACCAAGCAGCCUUGAGAUCUUAGGCAGCGUCUCCCUCAGGUCCCUCUCUAUCUCCCCACACAUCCACCAACCACUGGAACACAUCUCCAAAGUUCUGCUGGACCAGCUCAGCUUCCCCUCAGAAGAAGUGCUGCCACCUGCCAGAUGAAGGAGCCUUUUGAGAGGCAGCUGGCAUCGUGAUUGGACUGUACUUUGGUCUGUUCCAAUCCAGCUUCAGCUCCAGAGACGGCAGGCGGGACGAGUCAACGGAGGCCUGGUGGACGAAGGCAUGCAGCUGAGUACAAUCCAGAAAACAACAGAGGAGGAAUGCAGCGGCUCAGUAUAGCCUUUGGUAUGAAAAAACACCAUCAUAUACAUUGUAUAUUGUACAAAUAACAAGUCAAAGGAAAGAGACAUACAUUGUAGAAUUGUAGUAAUUGUGGGCUGACUGAUUUACUGAUUAUCAGUAUUUUAUUUUUUACUGAUUUACGGUAAUAAAUCAAUUUAAAAAUGGUG